This 253-nucleotide ribosomal RNA is filed under the name uncultured bacterium. RNAcentral's name for it is "partial 16S ribosomal RNA". It matches the Rfam family "Bacterial small subunit ribosomal RNA", at positions 524 to 776 of the family's 1533-position model. The record is from RNAcentral.
UACGGAGGGUGCAAGCGUUAAUCGGAUUUAUUGGGCGUAAAGGGCGCGUAGGCGGGGAGGCAAGUUAGAUGUGAAAUCCCGGGGCUCAACUCCGGACCCGCAUCUAAUACUGCUUUUCUAGAGGAUGGAUGGAGAAAAGGGAAUUCCACGUGUAGCGGUGAAAUGCGUAGAUAUGUGGAAGAACACCAGUGGCGAAGGUGCUUUUCGAAUUCAUUCAUGACGAUGAAGCGCGAAAGCAAGGGGAGCAAACAGG